GAGCGCUCGCUUUGCAUGCGAGAAGUCUGGAGUUCGAUUCCCCAUACCUCCA
RNAcentral lists this transfer RNA (52 nucleotides) under Angiostrongylus costaricensis. It matches the Rfam family "tRNA", at positions 21 to 71 of the family's 71-position model. From Rfam's summary of the family: Transfer RNA (tRNA) molecules are approximately 80 nucleotides in length. Their secondary structure includes four short double-helical elements and three loops (D, anti-codon, and T loops). The record is from Rfam by way of RNAcentral. Lineage: Eukaryota; Metazoa; Nematoda; Chromadorea; Rhabditida; Metastrongylidae.